Molecule: ribosomal RNA, 350 nt
Filed under: uncultured archaeon
Lineage: Archaea
Description: bacterial SSU rRNA
Rfam family: Archaeal small subunit ribosomal RNA
Source: RNAcentral
GGACCUGACUGCUAUCGGAUUGAUACUAAGCCGUGCGAGUCAUUGUAGCAAUACAAGGCAGACGGCUCAGUAACGCGUAGUCAACCUAACCUAUGGACGGGAAUAACCUCGGGAAACUGAGAAUAAUGCCCGAUAGAACACUAUACCUGGAAUGGUUUGUGUUCCAAAUGAUUUAUCGCCGUAGGAUGGGACUGCGGCCUAUCAGUUUGUUGGUGAGGUAAUGGCCCACCAAGACUAUUACAGGUACGGGCUCUGAGAGGAGUAGCCCGGAGAUGGGUACUGAGACACGGACCCAGGCCCUAUGGGGCGCAGCAGGCGAGAAAACUUUGCAAUGUGCGAAAGCACGACAA